Molecule: ribosomal RNA, 461 nt
Filed under: uncultured bacterium
Lineage: Bacteria
Description: bacterial SSU rRNA
Rfam family: Bacterial small subunit ribosomal RNA
Source: RNAcentral
GAGAUAACUCCUACGGGAGGCAGCAGUGGGGAAUAUUGCACAAUGGGCGCAAGCCUGAUGCAGCAACGCCGCGUGAGGGACGACGGCCUUCGGGUUGUAAACCUCUUUUAGCAGGGAAGAAGCGCAAGUGACGGUACCUGCAGAAAAAGCACCGGCUAACUACGUGCCAGCAGCCGCGGUAAUACGUAGGGUGCAAGCGUUGUCCGGAAUUAUUGGGCGUAAAGAGCUCGUAGGCGGUUUGUCGCGUCUGCUGUGAAAACGCGAGGCUCAACCUCGCGCCUGCAGUGGGUACGGGCAAACUAGAGUGCGGUAGGGGAGAUUGGAAUUCCUGGUGUAGCGGUGGAAUGCGCAGAUAUCAGGAGGAACACCAAUGGCGAAGGCAGAUCUCUGGGCCGUAACUGACGCUGAGGAGCGAAAGCGUGGGGAGCGAACAGGAUUAGAAACCCUUGUAGUCCUCCACU